Molecule: long non-coding RNA, 3062 nt
Organism: Tupaia belangeri chinensis (Chinese tree shrew)
Lineage: Eukaryota; Metazoa; Chordata; Mammalia; Scandentia; Tupaiidae
Exons: 2
Source: RefSeq, a predicted model, not a curated record
ACACCUUAUAGCAAAAAUCUCACUAAAAACAAAAACGAACAAAAAAACCCCCAGCCUUCCUAUGCAUUUCUGGGACCUGGCCUACAACUUGCCCUCUCCCAAGCCCUCUGCGCAUUAGAAACAUUCUGUGAAAUCGCCUUCCUCAUGCACGCCAGCAGGAGCCAGCCCCUCACCGCCGAGCCGAGCUUCCUGUUCCCAGCAUUUCCUACUUGGUCCCGGGGCCUGCGCUGUGCCCAUACAUACACGCGUGUAGCUUGUGUUCAGUGGGUGUGCGAGGAACAUCCCUUCAAAAGCGGCACAGCUAGGGUGGCUCUGCUCUCUUCCGUAUAGUCCUGUUGCACCCAACUGCCUCUGGUCCUCCUCGGAGCUUUCCCCAAAGCAGGCCCUGGCUCCCGGCAGCCCCUCCCACACAUGGGAUUCGUUGGUGAGGCCAGAGGGGUCAGCCAUGCGGAGUCAGACGCUGGACCACAGCAGCCAGUCAUCAGUGGCCCCCUCUGGCCCAGCCCUGGUGAGCGGUGGACCACCCCUCCCUGCCUACUCGGCCGGUUCCCUCCCAGACGUGGACAGCACACCUGCCCAUCGACUCGGGUGUCUGACCUCAGGGCACUGGGGGGAUGAACAGCCCCAUCUGUGGGAGCCUGUCAUCGUGGGACGGGGGGCCCCAUCCAAAUAGCAAGUGGAAAGUCCUCAGAUGUCGGAGGGAGCUCAGCGAAGAGGGAGGACAGAGCACAAGACCCUCAGGAGCCAGUGUCACCCCUGCAGGCCCCGUGUCACCACCGCGUCUCCAUCCCUGCCUCUGCUGGUUGAGGCUCACCCCGUCCCCGCCCAGCACUCCUCGCCCUGUGCCACCCAGAGCUCAGCCCCCUGCGUGAGCGGAAGGUACUGCUCUCCCCCCACGGCUCCCUGGCCCACAUCCAGGCCACUGUCGGCAAAGCUCUCACUCAUGCGGGUUUUUUUCUCCGAGGUGCUCAUCAAUCCACAAGUUCUCAUUAGGGAUGUAAAGAAGUCUGAGCAACGCCUUCCUGGAACCAGAUCUUCUGAGUUUCUGCAAUCUCUAAGGUCCACCUCUUCCUUCCUCUCCCACCCCCAUUGCUUUGUUUUUAAAAUCAUCGUGUUGAAAAAACAUCUUGAUUGGCAGAUGGGGCAGAGCGACAGGGUAUGCUGCAGACUCUGGGCUGGUGGCCGGGCCCAAGGCCGGGCCUCCCCUUCCAGCUCUCAGAAUGGCUGGCCUGCGGGGCUGAGAGUCGGGUUCCCCUCCCUCCUCCCAGCAGCCCGGGACGUGGACUUGACCUGUCGUGGACAGCCGGUGGUAGACGCUGCGUGUCACCUCUCGUAGUUUGUGAGGAUCCUGGUAGUCCAGUCUAGGACAGCGGAGUGACCUGGCGGGCUGGCUUUCUGGCCACUCAGAGCCGUGCUUCCUUGCGCUGCCAUUUAUGCUACACAGAGCCCCGUGGCCCGGCAGCAAGGAGGGCGGCUCUCGCACACAGACCCACUGGCAUCUCUGCCUGACUCUGUCACCGCUGCCCCUGCCUCGGCAACCACACGGCAUGGACCAGAUGGGCACGGAGCUUCUCUCAGAUGUGCCCAGCCCUGCCGGAGCCCCUGCCUCCCUCCGCUGCUAAACUCACUCAGGCCUCAGUGGGCAGUGGAGAGGAGCCCAGAGGCUGAAGGUUGGGGCAGAGGCAUAGCCAGUACCUCCCAACUCCAGCCCGUAUGCCAGAGACGCUGCCCAGGACUUGCAGCGGGGCGCUCUGAUGACAAGCCAGAAGUUGUCACUGCUUUGGCACUGUUUGCUGCAGGCCUCGCUGGUGGUCACCAAAACUGCAGCCUCUUAAGUGGACAGCCACACAGACCAGGGUUUCCUCCCUCCUGUCUCUGAGAAGGCAAAGGCAGGCAGCAUUUGAGAGUCUCGAGGAAGACGGCAGGUAAGGGGCUCCCUCGUUGUACCUCAGCUCCACGCCGCCUCCAGCCGAACGUCCCGAGGGGUCGUGCUCAGGCCGAGUGUCGGCGGUGCAGUGGACACGGCGUCCCUCCGGGAGCUGGUUACAGAGUCCGACCCACCAUUUUGGUUUCUCCUUUCGUCUGAGCCCUGGCCCAGAACUGCACUUCAUGGCCAGCAAGGUAGGGUCAGCGGGCAGACCGAGGAGACGGCAUAGAACAGCCUGGUCUGGCCUCCCCGGACUUGCCUGGAAAUGUCUCCCCAGCACGGCCUUCACUGCUGGGGCAGCAACAGGCCAUGAAACCGUCCUCUGGCCCUCAUUGGAUGGAGAGCUACACCUCGCAGGUGGAGGUCUGCACACACACGCCCGCCUAGAGCACCCCCUUACUCUGGCUCUAAGAACCGGACAGUGUGUUCUGGGUUUGUUUGUUUGUUUUUCUCCCUUUAUUAUAUUUUUGCUUUUGAGAUAUAAACCACACAGAAAACAUCCACUCCUGUGAUUUUAAAGUGCAUUUCUCCAUUAGCUUUGUGUACAAAAAUAAUUAUUAAAACAUGCAGAAAUGUCUUGAGGCACUUUCAGGCACUCGGUAAGGCUGGGACCUCAGCUCUGCGCUCACAUGGACAUGGAGGAUGCUCCCCGAGUCCUCAUGGGCCAGCGUCUCCAGGAAUGGUCCCCAGCUUUGCAGCUGGGACUGUGUGGUCGCAGGAAAGCUACCUCUCGACCAGUGAGUCUCACACUUCAGAACACGAGAUAAAGCGGCCACGCUGUCUGCGGGUGACUAGAAGGCUCCCGUCACAUAACUCAGCUCCCAGCUCAGCACCGAGUGCAGCGAGCCAGAGCCUAGAGCCAUCGAGCAAGUUUCAGAGAGGAACACAUGGAGCUGACCCAGCCUACAGCCCUAGAAGGGCACUUGGGGAAAACCACGUCUGGCUCCAGGGCACAGAUUCCACAUGGCAUCUGCUAGAUAACAAGGAAUGCUCAUUUUCAAAAAGGAAGUGAUGAGCACAGGUCAAAACCACGGGGCACUCUAGCAGAAUUCACAUCUUUAAAACAUCUUUUUCUCACAUUGGGCGUGUGUGCAUGUGUGCCCAAGAUCCCGCAAGGAGAAUGGAGAAGGGAUUG